CCAGCUACUUGGGAGGCUGAGGUGGGAGGAUCACUUGAGCUUGGCAGACCAAGGCUGAACUGAGCUUUGAUCAUGCCACUGCAUUCUAGCCUGGGUAACAGAUUGAGGCCCUCUCUUAAAAAUGAAAGAAUGAUAUGAUUUGGGUUGUUUCUCCCAACCUCAGGUGAUCCGCCCGCCUUGGCGUCCCAAAGUGCUGGGAUUAUAGGCAUGAGCCACCGCGCCCAGCCAGAAAAUGUGUUUUAACUCAGGCUCUGCUAUGCUAAUCUUGGACAAGUCUGUUCCUUUGAGGCCCAGUUUUCUCAUCUAUAAAAUGAAAAUACUAGACAAGAGCAGUAGUCUCCUACAGAGAUCAGGUGUCAACAAAGCUUGAGGGGGACCUCUGCAUAUUCCAUAAGAGAAAAGAUGCUUUCCUCACCUCCUACCCUUCUAUGUUUUCUACAAGCUAUGUGUAAAGAGAGCUGGAACCAGUUACGGAGUGUUUGUAUGAAUGAGGUGGGGACAGAAAACUGAUAAUUUCUAAGGAAUCUCCAAUGUCUUAUACCUAUUAUACUUCUGCCAGGCAUGAGCCACUGCACCUGGCCCUUUUCUUUUUCUUUUUUUGACAGAAUCUUGAUCUGUCGCCCAGGCUGGAGUGCAGUGGCGUGAUCUCAGCUCUCAGCUCACUGCAACCUCCACCUCCUGGGUAGCUGGGACACCUGGCUAAUUUUUGUAUUUUUAGUAGAGAUGGGGUUUCACCAUGUUGGCCAGGCUGGUCUUGAACUCCUGGCCCCAAGUGAUCCACCUGCCUCGGCCUCCCAAAGUGCUGAGAUUACAGGCGUGACGGCACCCGGCUUCUAUUUUUAUUUUUUUACUUUAUUUUUUAUUUAUCUAUAUUUUUUGAGACAGAGUUUUGCUCUUGUGGCCCAGGCUGGAGUGCAAUGGCAUGAUUUCGGCUCACUGCAACCUCCGCCUCCUGGAUUCAAGCGAUUCUCCUGCCUCAGCCUCUCAAGUAGCUGAGAUUACAGGCAUGCACUACCUCACCGAGCUAAUUUUGUAUUUUUAGUAGAGAUGGGGUUUCACCAUGUUGGCCAGGCUGGUCUGCAACUUCUGACCUCAGGUGAUUCACCUGCCUUGGCCUCCAAAAAUGCUGGGAUUACAGGCAUGAGCCACCUUGUCCGGCCCAUUUUUAUUUUUUAUACAUUCUUUAAAUGUUUCCAUUUAUAGCCAGGUAAUACACUGCAGAAUAGCACUACCAGUCUAUUACUUGUAAUCUGUGUUUGCCAUGUCGUACUUUGCAAGAUCUUCUGUAUUACUGUCAUUGCAAACCUUACUUCCUUUCCAGGUCCCCCCCAACCAACAACCACUCCUCCAUCGGACCCUCAUCCCACUUCUACUGGAAAGUUCUCAGUGAUUUUACCCAUAAACAUCACUUUGGACCAGCACAGUGGCUCAUGCCUAUAAUCGUAGCACUUUGGGAGGCUGAGGCAGGAGGACCCCUUGAGCCCAGGAGUUUGAGGCCAGCCUGGGCAACAGGGAGACCCUAUCUCUAUAUAAUACAAACACAAAUAAAAAAU
RNAcentral lists this long non-coding RNA (1553 nucleotides) under Homo sapiens (human). RNAcentral describes it as "HSALNT0209337". The record is from RNAcentral. Lineage: Eukaryota; Metazoa; Chordata; Mammalia; Primates; Hominidae.